This 330-nucleotide long non-coding RNA is filed under the name Cricetulus griseus (Chinese hamster). Its description in RNAcentral is "lncRNA (ENSCGRG00015042104.1)". The record is from RNAcentral. Lineage: Eukaryota; Metazoa; Chordata; Mammalia; Rodentia; Cricetidae.
AGGGUCUGCUCCUUUCAAGCAAAGGAACUUCAUUGGCGGUGACACCGAGCUGUGCUGUCCUCGACCCACAGCCUGAGAUGGAUCUCAGGACAACCCUAAACUUCCAAGCUGCAGAAACCAGCGCUCAGCGUUCCCUCAGCAGUGCUUCUGGAACCCUCCCCCGAAAUCUGCCGCAGAAAGUCCACCCAUAGCUAAGACACUAAGACUAAAACAAGACCAGUGGCCACUCCACAGAAGCACAGAUGCCUGUUUGGAAGGCUUCAGUCAUGGAAUGGAUCAUAUUGACCUCUCACACCAGAUCCCACAUUGGAGAGAAUGAGUCUUCAGAGG